Fukomys damarensis (Damara mole-rat) is the source of this 521-nucleotide long non-coding RNA. RefSeq lists it as uncharacterized. The record is from RefSeq and is a predicted model, not a curated record. The transcript is spliced from 4 exons. NCBI's taxonomy places the organism in Eukaryota, Metazoa, Chordata, Mammalia, Rodentia, Bathyergidae.
CAGGGGUUCUGGUAAUGUUCCCUUUCCCUGUUCCCUACAGAAACUGAGCUUAGAAAAGUGGAGUAAUUUGGCUAGGUUUACACAGUAAAUGGAGAAUGUAGAAUUUAAGCUCUGUAUCAUAAACCUCCAAAAUCUGUGCUAUAUUGUACAUCAUUUUGAUGAGAUUAUAUGUUUUAUAUUUUUUCUUACAGUUUUCUGCACUAACUUUUCUAAGACAGGUUUGAGGCACUGCUGGACAGUGCUCUGCGUUGCCCGUUCGCGACAUGUGAGGAUGUAAGAACGCUUAAAAUGAGAAAGACUGACUUAUUUGUUCUGAGUCAAUGCCUUCACAAACUUGCCUGCUUUUCUACCUCCUCGUAGAUGGACGAUGUCAUCUAUCUGGUCGUUGCCUGAAGAAUUUCUAUCACAGUGGUUUCUUCAGGAAUGUUUCACACCCCAAACUGGAAGCAAUCCAAAUGUUCCACAGCUCAAUGGAAGAACAAAUUAAGGGUCUCACUAUGCAUUUCAGACUGCCCUGGAAC